Molecule: transfer RNA, 69 nt
Filed under: Hierodula patellifera
Lineage: Eukaryota; Metazoa; Arthropoda; Insecta; Mantodea; Mantidae
Description: tRNA-Tyr
Rfam family: tRNA
About the family: Transfer RNA (tRNA) molecules are approximately 80 nucleotides in length. Their secondary structure includes four short double-helical elements and three loops (D, anti-codon, and T loops).
Source: RNAcentral
GGUAAAAUGGCUGAGAUUAUUAGGUAGUAGAUUGUAAAUCUAUUAAGGGGAUUAUAUUCCCUUUUACCA